Molecule: ribosomal RNA, 430 nt
Filed under: Pseudomonadota bacterium
Lineage: Bacteria; Pseudomonadati; Pseudomonadota
Description: Proteobacteria bacterium partial 16S ribosomal RNA
Rfam family: Bacterial small subunit ribosomal RNA
Source: RNAcentral
UGGGGAAUAUUGGACAAUGGGGGGAUCCCUGAUCCAGCCAUGCCGCGUGUGUGAAGAAGGCCUUAUGGUUGUAAAGCACUUUAAGCGAGGAGGAGGGUACUGGUAUUAAUACUACCAGGUACUGGACGUUACUCGCAGAAUAAGCACCGGCUAACUCUGUGCCAGCAGCCGCGGUAAUACAGAGGGUGCGAGCGUUAAUCGGAUUUACUGGGCGUAAAGCGUGCGUAGGCGGCUAAUUGAGUCGGAUGUGAAAUCCCCGAGCUUAACUUGGGAAUUGCAUUCGAUACUGGUUAGCUAGAGUGUGGGAGAGGAUGGUAGAAUUCCAGGUGUAGCGGUGAAAUGCGUAGAGAUCUGGAGGAAUACCGAUGGCGAAGGCAGCCAUCUGGCCUAACACUGACGCUGAGGUACGAAAGCAUGGGGAGCAAACAGG